GACGAACGCUGGCGGCGUGCUUAACACAUGCAAGUCGAACGGUGAAGGGACCAGCUUGCUGGUUCUGGAUGAGUGGCGAACGGGUGAGUAACACGUGAGUAACCUGCCCCCUUCUUCUGGAUAACCGCAUGAAAGUGUGGCUAAUACGGGAUAUUCUGGGUCUGUCGCAUGGCGGGCCCGGGAAAGAUAUUGCUUCGGUGGGGGAUGGGCUCGCGGCCUAUCAGCUUGUUGGUGGGGUGAUGGCCUACCAAGGCGGUGACGGGUAGCCGGCCUGAGAGGGUGGACGGUCACACUGGGACUGAGACAAGGCCCAGAGUCCUACGGGAGGCAGCAGUGGGGAAUAUUGCACAAUGGGAGCAAGCCUGAUGCAGCGACGCCGCGUGAGGGAUGGAGGCCUUCGGGUUGUAAACCUCUUUCGCCAGUGAAGCAGGCCUGCUCCUUGUGGGUGGGUUGACGGUAGCUGGAUAAGAAGCGCCGGCUAACUACGUG
Molecule: ribosomal RNA, 489 nt
Filed under: uncultured bacterium
Lineage: Bacteria
Description: partial 16S ribosomal RNA
Rfam family: Bacterial small subunit ribosomal RNA
Source: RNAcentral